RNAcentral lists this ribosomal RNA (452 nucleotides) under uncultured bacterium. RNAcentral describes it as "partial small subunit ribosomal RNA". It matches the Rfam family "Bacterial small subunit ribosomal RNA", at positions 26 to 518 of the family's 1533-position model. The record is from RNAcentral.
AGGAUAAACGCUGGCGGCGUGCCUAACACAUGCAAGUCGAACGUCCUACGCAAGUAGGGAGUGGCGGACGGGUGAGUAACACGUGGGCAAUCUACCUUUCGGUGAGGAAUACCGGCGAGAAAUCGCCGACAAUACCGCAUACGCUUCGCAAGAAGCAAAGUCGCAAGACGCCGGAGGAGGAGCCUGCGCCCGAUUAGCUCGUUGGUGGAGUAAUGGUCUACCAAGGCGACGAUCGGUAGCUGGUCUGAGAGGAUGAUCAGCCACACUGGGAUUGAGAACGGCCCAGACCCCUACGGGGGGCAGCAGUGAGGAAUCUUGCGCAAUGGGCGAAAGCCUGACGCAGCAACGCCGCGUGGAGGACGAAGGCUUUCUGAGUUGUAAACUCCUUUCAGCAGGGACGAUUGUGACGGUACCUGCAGAAGAAGCACCGGCAACUACGUGCCAGCAGCCGC